GGCUCGUUGGUCAAGAGGUUAAGACACCGCCCUUUCACGGCGGUAACAGGGGUUCAAGUCCCCUACGAGUCACCA
RNAcentral lists this transfer RNA (75 nucleotides) under Eggerthella sp. Its description in RNAcentral is "tRNA-Glu". It matches the Rfam family "tRNA". Rfam says of the family: Transfer RNA (tRNA) molecules are approximately 80 nucleotides in length. Their secondary structure includes four short double-helical elements and three loops (D, anti-codon, and T loops). The record is from RNAcentral. Lineage: Bacteria; Bacillati; Actinomycetota; Coriobacteriia; Eggerthellales; Eggerthellaceae.